Molecule: ribosomal RNA, 301 nt
Filed under: uncultured bacterium
Lineage: Bacteria
Description: partial 16S ribosomal RNA
Rfam family: Bacterial small subunit ribosomal RNA
Source: RNAcentral
CAGUCGCCGCGGUAAUACGAAGGGGGCUAGCGUUGUUCGGAAUUACUGGGCGUAAAGCGCACGUAGGCGGAUCGAUCAGUCAGGGGUGAAAUCCCAGGGCUCAACCCUGGAACUGCCUUUGAUACUGUCGAUCUGGAGUAUGGAAGAGGUGAGUGGAAUUCCGAGUGUAGAGGUGAAAUUCGUAGAUAUUCGGAGGAACACCAGUGGCGAAGGCGGCUCACUGGUCCAUUACUGACGCUGAGGUGCGAAAGCGUGGGGAGCAAACAGGAUUAGAUACCCGCGUAGUCCUGUCUCUUAUACA